GCCACAGCAGCGCUCCUUUUCGUUUUUUCACCCUUUGGUCUCUGUGAUAGUGUCGGAGCUCAGAAGAUUUAAUUGACCUUGUAAGCAAAGUUUAACAAACCCACAGCCAUAAGUGUCAAAACAAAGCGCUAGUUGAACCUUAGUUUUUAGUCUUUAGUUAAAACGUGUGACUCUGUUUGCUGCAGUGUAACGUUAGUUUUGUCCGGACAGGCCUCAGGCAGCCACGUGGAGAGGACUGAAAGAUGAGGAAGAGAAAAGAUAAAAGUGAACUUCAGUCUGGCAGCUCUUUACAUGAGUUCAUUACGUCUCCUCGUGUCCCUGGGAGGAGGUCAGAAUGUGUGUUGAAGAUGAUGGAGAAUAAAGACUGAGCUCUAAACACAAACAUGUGAGCUGCCAGAAGAGACGUUGUCAGGGAAAUACACCUGUUGAUGACCAGCUGUUUAAACAAUGGUUCCCCUGCAGCAAUGAGUAUCCUCCCUACUACACAGACUGACUCAAGACGAUCCAUUUUAUGCAGGUUGAGCUGAUUCCUUUUUGAAAGAAGAUAAUUCAUCUCAUGGCAUACAGCUGCAACAACACCUUUGACAUGGUCCUGGUGUCACUCUGUCAAGCUUACUCUGUCCCCCGAGGUCUGCUGUCAAGAAUCUGACAGAAUUUGAUCUGAGCAGUUGCAGUGAAUCCACCUCUGAAUGCCUGCAAGUUUCACAUGAUAACAAGAGGAGUCAUGGAAACUGGAGACUCUGAAAAUGGAUGUGUCUGUGCUUGUUCAAAAUCAUGACACCAUGUAAAAAUGUAUUUAAUGCUUCUUAAAUAAAUAUUGCAUCAAUAUUUAAA
Molecule: long non-coding RNA, 834 nt
Organism: Lates calcarifer (barramundi perch)
Lineage: Eukaryota; Metazoa; Chordata; Actinopteri; Centropomidae
Exons: 9
Source: RefSeq, a predicted model, not a curated record